CUGGCGGCGUGCUUAACACAUGCAAGUCGAACGAACCUUCGGGUUAGUGGCGGACGGGUGAGUAACGCGUGAGAAUCUGCCCUCAGGAGGGGGACAACAGCUGGAAACGGCUGCUAAUACCCCAUAUGCCGCGAGGUGAAAUGAAUUUCGCCUGAGGAUGAGCUCGCGUCUGAUUAGCUAGUUGGUGUAGGUAAUGGCUCACCAAGGCAUCGAUCAGUAGCUGGUCUGAGAGGAUGAUCAGCCACACUGGGACUGAGACACGGCCCAGACUCCUACGGGAGGCAGCAGUGGGGAAUUUUCCGCAAUGGGCGAAAGCCUGACGGAGCAACGCCGCGUGAGGGAUGAAGGCCUCUGGGCUGUAAACCUCUUUUAUCAAGGAAGAAGAU
RNAcentral lists this ribosomal RNA (386 nucleotides) under uncultured bacterium. RNAcentral's name for it is "bacterial SSU rRNA". It matches the Rfam family "Bacterial small subunit ribosomal RNA", at positions 36 to 452 of the family's 1533-position model. The record is from RNAcentral.